GAUGAACGCUGGCGGCGUGCCUAAUACAUGCAAGUCGAACGAAACUUCUUUAUCACCGAGUGCUUGCACUCACCGAUACAGAGUUGAGUGGCGAACGGGUGAGUAACACGUGGGCAACCUGCCCAAAAGAGGGGGAUAACACUUGGAAACAGGUGCUAAUACCGCAUAACCAUAGUUACCGCAUGGUAACUAUGUAAAAGGUGGCUAUACUACCGCUUUUGGAUGGGCCCGCGGCGCAUUAGCUAGUUGGUAGGGUAAAGGCUUACCAAGGCAAUGAUGCGUAGCCGAAUUGAGAGGUUGAUCGGCCACAUUGGGACUGAGACACGGCCCAAACUCCUACGGGAGGCAGCAGUAGGGAAUCUUCCACAAUGGGCGAAAGCCUGAUGGAGCAACGCCGCGUGGGUGAAGAAGGUCUUCGGAUCGUAAAACCCUGUUGUUAGAGAAGAAAGUGCGUGAGAGUAACUGUCCACGUUUCGACGGUAUCUAACCAGAAAGCCACGGCUAACUACGUG
RNAcentral lists this ribosomal RNA (512 nucleotides) under uncultured bacterium. RNAcentral's name for it is "partial 16S ribosomal RNA". It matches the Rfam family "Bacterial small subunit ribosomal RNA", at positions 28 to 507 of the family's 1533-position model. The record is from RNAcentral.